This 519-nucleotide ribosomal RNA is filed under the name uncultured Acaulosporaceae. RNAcentral's name for it is "SSU rRNA". It matches the Rfam family "Eukaryotic small subunit ribosomal RNA", at positions 548 to 1069 of the family's 1831-position model. Lineage: Eukaryota; Fungi; Glomeromycota; Glomeromycetes; Diversisporales; Acaulosporaceae. The record is from RNAcentral.
UUGGAGGGCAAGUCUGGUGCCAGCAGCCGCGGUAAUUCCAGCUCCAAUAGCGUAUAUUAAAGUUGUUGCAGUUAAAAAGCUCGUAGUUGAAUUUCGGAGUUUGUCGGUUGGUCGGGCUUCACUGUCCGCACUGACCUGAUGGAUUCCUACCUUCUGAAUAACCAGCAUGCUAUUAAGUUAGUGCGUUGGGGAAGCAGAGCUAUUACCUUGAAGAAAUUAGAGUGCUUAAAGCAGGCUUUUGCUUGAAUAGAUUAGCAUGGAAUAAUAAAAUAGGACGGCAUGGUUCUAUUUUGUUGGUUUCUAGGAUCACCGUAAUGAUUAAUAGGGAUAGUUGGGGGCAUUAGUAUUCAAUUGUCAGAGGUGAAAUUCUUGGAUUUAUUGAAGACUAACUACUGCGAAAGCAUUUGCCAAGGAUGUUUUCAUUAAUCAAGAACGAAAGUUAGGGGAUCGAAGACGAUCAGAUACCGUCGUAGUCUUAACCAUAAACUAUGCCGACUAGGGAUCGGACGAAGUAAUUUA